AUCAUUCCCAAAGCAUGUAAAAUUAUAUGGUUUUGUUCGUUGCAUAGGAAGAUGAAAAAUGACUUGAGAACAAUGCUUCAAGGAGUUAUUGGUAAAUCACGUGGUCAACUGGUUCAAAUUUUGUAUCCAAAGUGUAACCAGCAGCUAGAUUCAUGGGAAUGUGGCUUCUAUGUGAUGUGUUGGA
Molecule: long non-coding RNA, 184 nt
Organism: Vigna angularis (adzuki bean)
Lineage: Eukaryota; Viridiplantae; Streptophyta; Magnoliopsida; Fabales; Fabaceae
Exons: 3
Source: RefSeq, a predicted model, not a curated record